AACCCAUGGUAAGGGCACCUUAUCAAUAAGUCCUUGUAUCUAUUCCAUGCAUCAUAAAGAGUUUCUAGAUCCAUAUAUACAAUAGAAGAGAUAUCAUUCCUUAAUUU
RNAcentral lists this small nucleolar RNA (107 nucleotides) under Gossypium barbadense (sea-island cotton). RNAcentral's name for it is "Plant small nucleolar RNA R71". It matches the Rfam family "Plant small nucleolar RNA R71". From Rfam's summary of the family: R71 is a member of the C/D box family of snoRNAs containing the C (UGAUGA) and D (CUGA) box motifs. Multiple nearly identical copies of this snoRNA have been identified in Arabidopsis, and it is thought to function as a 2'-O-ribose methylation guide for 18S ribosomal RNA. RNAcentral also lists the same sequence under 2 other names. Lineage: Eukaryota; Viridiplantae; Streptophyta; Magnoliopsida; Malvales; Malvaceae. The record is from Rfam by way of RNAcentral.